This 366-nucleotide ribosomal RNA is filed under the name uncultured fungus. Its description in RNAcentral is "SSU rRNA". It matches the Rfam family "Eukaryotic small subunit ribosomal RNA", at positions 20 to 370 of the family's 1831-position model. Lineage: Eukaryota; Fungi. The record is from RNAcentral.
GUAGUCAUAUGCUUGUCUCAAAGAUUAAGCCAUGCAUGUCUAAGUACAUGCCGUAUUAAGGCGAAACCGCGAAUGGCUCAUUAAAUCAGUUACGGUUCCUUAGAUGUUGACUUGUUUACAUGGAUAACUGUGGAAAAUCUAGAGCUAAUACAUGCACAAAAGCUUUGACCUUAACGGAAAAAGCGCAUUUAUUAGACCAAGACCAAUGGGUUCCUGUAAGAGGGAUACCCUAACGGUGGUGACUCUGGAUAACUUUUCGCUAAUCGCAUGGCCUAUGAGCCGGCGAUGAAUCUUUCAAGUGUCUGCCUUAUCAACUGUCGAUGGUAGGUUAUGCGCCUACCAUGGUUGCAACGGGUAACGGGGAAU